RNAcentral lists this ribosomal RNA (478 nucleotides) under uncultured bacterium. RNAcentral describes it as "partial 16S ribosomal RNA". It matches the Rfam family "Bacterial small subunit ribosomal RNA", at positions 28 to 507 of the family's 1533-position model. The record is from RNAcentral.
GAUGAACGCUGGCGGCGUGCUUAACACAUGCAAGUCGAACGGGAAACCUUUUAUUGAAGCUUCGGCAGAUUUAGCUGGUUUCUAGUGGCGGACGGGUGAGUAACGCGUGGGUAACCUGCCCUAUACAGGUGGAUAACAACCAGAAAUGGUUGCUAAUACCGCAUAAGCGCACAGGGCCGCAUGGUCCGGUGUGAAAAACUCCGGUGGUAUAGGAUGGACCCGCGUUGGAUUAGCCAGUUGGCAGGGUAACGGCCUACCAAAGCGACGAUCCAUAGCCGGCCUGAGAGGGGGAACGGCCACAUUGGGAAUGAGGCACGGCCCAGACUCCUACGGGAGGCAGCAGUGGGGAAUAUUGCACAAUGGGGGAAAACCUGAUGCAGCGACGCCGCGUGAAGGAAGAAGUAUCUCGGUAUGUAAACUUCUAUCAGCAGGGAAGAUAGUGACGGUACCUGACUAAGAAGCCCCGGCUAACUACGUG